RNAcentral lists this ribosomal RNA (2165 nucleotides) under human gut metagenome. RNAcentral's name for it is "bacterial LSU rRNA". It matches the Rfam family "Bacterial large subunit ribosomal RNA", at positions 14 to 2260 of the family's 2925-position model. The record is from RNAcentral.
AGGGCGCACAGUGGAUGCCUAGGCACUAGAAGGCGAAGAAGGACGCAACUAACGGCGAAACGCUACGGGUAGCAGUAAGUAAGCAAUGAUCCGUAGAUAUCCGAAUGAGGCAACUCACCAUGAAGAAGACAUGGUAUACCGAAAGGUAGGCAAGACCCAGCGAAUUGAAAUAUCUUAGUAGCUGGAGGAAAAGAAAGCAAAAGCGAUUUUCUCAGUAGCGACGAGCGAAAGGGAAGGAACCCAAAUUCACGGCAUAUGAAAUUUUUGAUAAAUGAACCACUCUGGGAAGGUGGACCGAAGAAGGUGAAAGUCCUGUAAUUGAAAUCAAGAAUGGAAUUAGUGAGAAAGAGUACGGCGAGACACGAGAAAUCUUGUCGGAAGAAGCGAGGACCAUCUCGUAAGGUUAAAUACUAGCUAGUGACCGAUAGCGAACCAGUACCGUGAGGGAAAGGUGAAAAGAACCCCGGGAGGGGAGUGAAAGAGAACCUGAAACUGUGUGCUUACAAGUAGUCAGAGGACGUUAAAGUCUGAUGGCGUGCCUUUUGUAGAAUGAACCGGCGAGUUACGGUAUUUAGCAAGGUUAAGUCUAAAGGGACGGAGCCGAAGCGAAAGCGAGUCUUAAUAGGGCGGUAAGUUGAAUGCUGUAGACCCGAAACCCGGCGAGCUAGCCAUGAGCAGGUUGAAGUUUGAGUAAAAUCAAAUGGAGGACCGAACUAGGGCCUGUUGAAAAAGGCUUGGAUGACUUGUGGCUAGGGGUGAAAUUCCAAUCGAGCUGGGAUAUAGCUGGUUCUCCCCGAAAUAACUUUAGGGCUAGCGUUAAACAAGAGUUUUAUGAAGGUAGAGCACUGAAUAGUAGAUGGUCCCACCUCGGGAUACUGACAUUAAUCAAACUCCGAAUGUCAUAAAACGCGUUUAGCAGUCAGACUGCGAGUGAUAAGGUCCGUGGUCAAAAGGAAAAGAGUCCAGACCGCCAAAUAAGGUCCCAAAAUAUAUGCUAAGUGGAGAAGGAUGUAGAGAUGCCUAAACAACUAGGAUGUUGGCUUAGAAGCAGCCAUCAUUUAAAGAGUGCGUAAUAGCUCACUAGUCGAGUGACUCCGCGCCGAAAAUGUACCGGGGCUAAGCAUAUUACCGAAUUUGCGGAUUCGAUACGAAAGUAUUGAGUGGUAGGGGAGCGUUCCAUAAUGGGAAGAAGCAAGAUCGAGAGGACUUGUGGACUAUAUGGAAGUGAGAAUGCCGGUGUGAGUAACGAAAAGACAGGUGAGAAUCCUGUCCGUCAAAAACCCAAGGUUUCCAGGGGAAGGGUCGUCCGCCCUGGGUAAGUCUGGGCCUAAGGUGAGGCCGAGAGGCGUAGCUGAUGGAUAUCUGGUGUAUAUUCCAGAACUAGUAUAAUGACUGAUGGAGUGACGAAGAAGGCUAGGAUCCGAUUCUUAGUGGAUUGAAUACGAGAUAUCAAGAGGGGAUGUAGGCAAAUCCGCAUCUAGAAAUCAAGAUAUGACAGGUAAAGGAUAACGAAGUCAAGCUUCCAAGAAAAGCUUCUAGGGUUAAUCAUUAUACUACCAGUACCGUAAACCGACACAGGUGGGUAGGAAGAGAAUUCUAAGACGCGCGAGAAAACCCUUGUUAAGGAACUCUGCAAGUUGGCCCCGUAAGUUCGCAAUAAGGGGAGCUCAUGUAAAAGUGAGCCACAGAAAAGAAGCCCAAGCAACUGUUUAACAAAAACACAGGUUUAUGCAAAACCGUAAGGUGAAGUAUAUGAGCUGACACCUGCCCGGUGCUGGAAGGUUAAAAGGAGAGGUUAGAGCAAUCGAAGCCUUGAAUUGAAGCCCCAGUAAACGGCGGCCGUAACUAUAACGGUCCUAAGGUAGCGAAAUUCCUUGUCAGGUAAGUUCUGACCCGCACGAAAGGUGUAAUGUCUUUGGGCACUGUCUCAACAGGGGACUCGGUGAAAUCAAACUGCCGGUGAAAAUGCCGGCUACCCGCGAUUAGACGGAAAGACCCCAUGGAGCUUUACUGUAGGUUGAUAUUGAUAUUUGGUAUGUAAUGUACAGGAUAGGUGGGAGACUAUGAAGCUAGGACGUUAGUCUUGGUGGAGUCGACGUUGGGAUACCACCCUUUGCCUAUCGAGUAUCUAACUAGUGUAAGUGGAUUACAAAGGACAGUGUCAG